GACGAACGCUGGCGGCGUGCUUAACACAUGCAAGUCGAACGGAAAGGCCCUGCUUUUGUGGGGUGCUCGAGUGGCGAACGGGUGAGUAACACGUGAGUAACCUGCCCUUGUCUUUGGGAUAACUUCAGGAAACUGGGGCUAAUACCGGAUAGGAGCUCUUGCUGCAUGGUGGGGGUUGGAAAGUUUCGGCGGUUGGGGAUGGACUCGCGGGUUAUCAGUGUGAUGGUGGGGGAGUGGAUUACCAAGGCUUUGACGGGUAGCCGGCCUGAGAGGGUGACCGGCCACAUUGGGACUGAGAUACGGCCCAGACUCCUACGGGAGGCAGCAGUGGGGAAUAUUGCACAAUGGGCGGAAGCCAGAUGCAGCAACGCCGCGUGCGGGAUGACGGCCUUCGGGUUGUAAACCGCUUUCGCCUGUGACGAAGCGUGAGUGACGGUAAUGGGUAAAGAAGCACCGGCUAACUACGUG
This 468-nucleotide ribosomal RNA is filed under the name uncultured bacterium. RNAcentral's name for it is "partial 16S ribosomal RNA". It matches the Rfam family "Bacterial small subunit ribosomal RNA", at positions 28 to 507 of the family's 1533-position model. The record is from RNAcentral.